Molecule: transfer RNA, 77 nt
Filed under: Pseudomonadales bacterium
Lineage: Bacteria; Pseudomonadati; Pseudomonadota; Gammaproteobacteria; Pseudomonadales
Also listed under: 3 other names
Description: tRNA-Arg
Rfam family: tRNA
About the family: Transfer RNA (tRNA) molecules are approximately 80 nucleotides in length. Their secondary structure includes four short double-helical elements and three loops (D, anti-codon, and T loops).
Source: RNAcentral
CCGCCCGUAGCUCAGCUGGAUAGAGCGCUGCCCUCCGGAGGCAGAGGUCAGGGGUUCGAAUCCCUUCGGGCGGGCCA